Molecule: transfer RNA, 56 nt
Filed under: Pareas stanleyi (Stanley's slug snake)
Lineage: Eukaryota; Metazoa; Chordata; Lepidosauria; Squamata; Pareidae
Description: tRNA-Ser
Source: RNAcentral
GAGAAGGUCUAAGACUUGCUAAUUCUUUAUUCUGGUAUUAAAACCCAGCCCUCUCU